AGCGCCCAGAGUGAAGGAGCAAAGGGGACUCGGCCGCCAUGUUAGGAGUACUGGGACGAUUCCGCGGAGCCGGGCAGAGGUUUUAGGGGAAUGAUUAACAAAGGCGUCCGAAGAAAUCGUUGUUGGAAGGUGGCCAAAGUGGAAAGAGAGGUUGCUUUGGCCCUGCAAGUAAGAAGAGAGAAGGAAUAGCCUGAAGGAGUAACACUAAAUUUAAAAUGACACUUUUUUACCAACCAGCGAAAGCAGAUGUUCAAAGGGGAUAUUGGCCAGAGUCUGUCACACUAAGAUGAGAAAUAUCCUUUCUUCCUGAAGGUGUCUGACGUGUAAAAAUACUGAUAUACUUUGUGCUGUUUCCUCCCUUCCCUUUUGCACAUUAUUCUGAAACAACAUUAACUAGUUACUUUGCGUCAUUGAAGAUUUUGCACUAGCAAAGUGCACUGUUUCAGACAAUCAAGGAAAUAAAACAUUUCUUGAUGAAAUCCUACCUCGCCUCAACAGGAAACUGAAUUGGAGUCCUCAAUUCUCAGUACAUCAGAACUCGUGUGUGAAAGGAUCAGGAGAGGACCAUAGUAUUGGAGAAUAAAACAUUAUGUGUUGAUGGUUGAGCUUUAUGUCAUCGUGUAGUUAAUGCUAUGACCAUAAAGCCAUUACUGUUAACACUUAAGUUUAUCUUCUGAAAGAAGCCUAUGAAAUAUCUCCAGAAAGACUAGGGGAUUUUCUUCUGUUUGUUUGUUUGUUUGAGAUGGAGUUUGCUCUGUUGCUCAGGCUGGAGUGCAGUGGUGCGAUCUCGGCUCACUGCAACCUCUGCCUCCCAGGUUCAAGUCAUUCUCCUGCCUCAGCCUCUGGAGUAGCCAGGACUAUGCACUGCGCCACCACACCCAGCUAAUUUUGUAUUUUUGGUGCAGACAGGGUUUCCCCAUGUUGGCCAGGCUGGUCUUGAACUCCUGGCCUCAAGUGUUCCGCCCACCUCGGCCCAAAGUGCUGGCCACCGCGCCCAGUCAGACUUGUUUUUUAGUGAAAUAAAUUGUUUUCCUUUAGGACCUUAUUCUUUAUGAUAACAGAUUCCAAGAAUAUGCAGUCUUGUCAAUGGCUGUUUCAUCCUCAGUUUCUUUAAAAAUAAAAUACAAUUAGAAAAUUUUUAGAUAUGCUAUAUCUAUCCAAUCUAUUUUCCUGUCACCCAGUAAGGUUUUCUAUCAUCAGCACAGGUCUAUGAAAGGACAGUAAAGGGUCUCCUGUUACAUACCCUAGCACUAAUGUUUGUAAUAGAAUGUUAAGAUAAGUUGUUUCCAUGUAAUCGGACUAAAUUCAGUCUUUCUCUACCCUCUGUCCUCUAUUUACCCACCUAUGUGUGUGGCCUACUAAUUAUAUUGACUGUACAUGACCAGCAAGUUGUAAGUUCUUUUAAAAGCAGGAGCUCAACCAUAUUUGUAUUCACAUUUCCUUCUGCUUAAAACAGGGCUUUUGUUUCUUCAGCAAAUAUUCAUUCAGUAUCCACUAGGUGUCAGAUAAUAUACAAGGUAGGUUCUAGGGAUUCCAAGAUAAAUAAACACAGAUAUGCCAAUAUGAGUCUGACAGUUUUGGCGGGGAGAGGUGGAAAAUAGAUCUGCAAGCCAAAAAAGCUACAGUAGAAUAAUAUAAAUAUUGUAAUGGCAAUAAAAUACCAGAACUAUUAAUUUUACAUUUAGUAAUCAUUCAGUAUCAAUUAAAUGGGUAAAAUGGAUAUGUUGGCAUGAAUGACAUAUAACUGAAAAAACACUAAGAACUGUAUAGAAAUUGAAUUAGACAUAUGAGUAAUAUUAGUAGGAAGGGGAGAGAAUAUUUGAUUCCAGGUAGGCUAUCAAGCAGGAUGCUUUUUCAGCACAGCCUUGGAGUAAAAUCUGUAACCUUUGAAAACAAUCACAUUUUUGUUCUUAUGCAAUCUUUGUUUUUAAAUGUAUUUAUUGUUUUGGCUCUAGUCCCUGAAUGUUAAAAUUUUAGUGUCAGUGUUAAUUCUCACUUAUCUUCUCCAGACCUUACUCCCUAAUUUUCUCAUUUUCAUUUGCCCCAAUAAGUGCCAACCUUACCUUGAAAAGAAUAGUGGAUUUAUCAGCUUACAAGGACUAAAAAGUCGUCAUUUCCAAAAACAUCUGUCCAAUAAGUCUGCCUCAGUGACUACAUUUCUAGCAUUACAAUGUCAUUCUUAGUACACUGAUUUGAUCUUUACAAAUUACAUAAAUGUAUAAAAUUGUCACAUGUACCCCAAAUUAUAUACAUCUAUUAUGUAUGUAUCAAUAAAAAAAAAAUUUGUAUGCUUUUUCUCCCGUU
Molecule: long non-coding RNA, 2304 nt
Organism: Pan troglodytes (chimpanzee)
Lineage: Eukaryota; Metazoa; Chordata; Mammalia; Primates; Hominidae
Exons: 4
Source: RefSeq, a predicted model, not a curated record